RNAcentral lists this ribosomal RNA (380 nucleotides) under uncultured eukaryote. RNAcentral's name for it is "SSU rRNA". It matches the Rfam family "Eukaryotic small subunit ribosomal RNA", at positions 587 to 972 of the family's 1831-position model. The record is from RNAcentral.
AGCUCCAAUAGCGUAUAUUAAAGUUGUUGCGGUUAAAAGCUCGUAGUUGGAUUUCUGCUUUGCGAGGCCGGUCACCACUACGUGGUUGUAUCUGGUUCUAGCAGGGCAUCCUCGUCAAAAUGGUUACUGUGCUUGAUUGCAUGGUGCUGUGUUGGCGACUUUUACUUUGAGGAAAUUAGAGUGUUCACGGCAGGCAAUCGCCCUGAAUAUAUUAGCAUGGAAUAAUAAUAUAGGAUCUGAUGCCUAUUUUGUUGGUUUCUAGGUGUUAGAUAAUGAUUAAUAGGGACAAUUGGGGGCAUUCGUAUUAAGGCGUCAGAGGUGGAAUUCUUGGAUUGCCUUACGACGAACUACUGCGAAAGCAUUUGCCAAGGAUGUUUUCA